Molecule: long non-coding RNA, 1556 nt
Filed under: Homo sapiens (human)
Lineage: Eukaryota; Metazoa; Chordata; Mammalia; Primates; Hominidae
Description: HSALNT0300712
Source: RNAcentral
UAGGAAGGACAGGGACUAUUGCUUGUCUUGGGAACGACUUGUGUCCCGGUCCUGAUACACUCCUUGUUCAUUAAUCUACAUGAGAUCGGCCAAGUCAUUGAGCCUCUCUUAUAACUCAGUUUCCAUAAAACAGAAAUGGUAAAGGUACCCCACUGAAAUGCUAAUGUUCAUUUGUAUAUUCUUUGCCUAACACGUAGAGAGAGUUCAAACAGUGGUUUUAAAAUAAACAACUAAAGUUAUCCAAUGAAAGGUAGCAGAGGAAGGAUGCUACAGGAGCUCAGAAAAGGCAACGAAGGCCAGAGUCUGCAGGGAUUUCCUGGAGGACGUGGAGCUUGUCCCUGCGUCUUUAACAAUAGGCAGAAUUUUAAUCUACUGGAGAAGCAUUUCAAGUAGCGGGAAAUGGAAUGAGCAGAGACAGAGGCAGAAAUACAGAGUUGAAAGAACUCUUUCAACGUGUCGCCAGUGAGUGACGACUUUCUCAGUGUGGGAGUAAAAGAAUUUACCAAGACAGUGGUAGAUAAAGAAAGACAGAUUAAAGAAAGUAUGAAAGUUCGUUGCCAGGGAGCAGCGGGCCGACUCAGCAGAGGAGGAGCUCAUUGCUAGGAAACAAAGGCUUGUUGAGAAUUUUAUAGACUGGAACUUGGAGUGAUUGAUAACACCAGGUAGCAGGGAGUUAACUUGCUUUUUUUUUUUCUUUCUUUCUUUUUUUUUUUUUUUUUUUGUCAGCUGAAGUGUUUCAGAAAUUGAGGCAUUUGAAGUAUUUCUCUGCAUAGCAGCUGUGCCCUUCAAUCAAACCCCUCAUUGUGAACACCAGACGUGUCUUCUCCCUACCGCACAAGGCUGACAAACUGUAUACCUCCGGGGAGCCCCGCCCACAUUGCAUGCGGUAGAACAUGAAGAGCAUGUACAAAAGGACAGAAAACAUAAACUCAUGCCUGGCAGAGAGCUUCUACUCUGAAGAAACAACAACCGAAGUGUCACAGGAUGAAUCUAUGCUAUUUGGAGAGGGAGUAUACAUUUAACUUGAAGCAAUCCCUGGAAGAAAAAUUCUACUAGCAGAGAUGCUCUGAGCAGAGAGAAAGCCUGUCUAUAUAGUGAAAGAAUGAAACCAAUACAUUGAAAAAAACUGAGAAGAGAAAGAGGUAGAGACUUCAUCUGAUACAAGCAUGCUUGAAACAAGAGACACCUGUAUGAUUCCAUCUUCCCAGGAGCUAGCAGGCAGUUCUUGUUGAGUUCAAGCCAGUUGAGACCAUCAACCCUUCAACUGAGCCUGCAUGGGUGCGUAAAGUGUGACCUUUUGAUGUCAAAGGGCCAAAACCUGCACCCUCCUUUCAUGCUAAUUCAACCAUUUUCUGAACAUGCAUCCUAUGAAGAGCCAUGUAGCUCAAUUAUGCUUGUGCAGAAACCCUGAUUACCUCACCUUUCCCACCUGCCAAUCACCUUUACCCAUACUUCACACCAUCCUGCUUUCUAUCCCGCUAAUUACCCCUAAGCCCUGUUUUCAGGGAGGUGGAUUUGCGAUUUGUUCUCCUUCUCCUUGCUCAGCAGCCUGGUAA